Molecule: small RNA, 764 nt
Filed under: Pongo abelii (Sumatran orangutan)
Lineage: Eukaryota; Metazoa; Chordata; Mammalia; Primates; Hominidae
Description: processed transcript
Source: RNAcentral
ACCACAGAGCUGCAGUUGACCGAUGUGCUGCUUCUGCUGCAGAAACUAUUGACAGGAUUGUGUCCACCUUUGUUUUCCUUUCAGAAGUGCCUAACUGCCAGUCAUCCUACAUGAGAGGGGGUUAUUUCUCCAGCAGCCAUGAAGGAUUUUCAUAUGAAAAAGAUCCCCGAUUAUACUUUGACGACACUUGUGUUGUGCCUGAGAGACUGGAAGGCAAAGUCAAACAGGAGCCUACCAUGUAUCGAGAGGGGCCCCCUUACCAGAGACGAGGUUCCCUUCAGCUAUGGCAGUUCCUGGUCACCCUUCUUGAUGACCCAGCCAAUGCUCACUUCAUUGCCUGGACAGGCCGAGGCAUGGAGUUCAAGCUGAUAGAACCGGAAGAGGUUGCUCGGCGCUGGGGCAUCCAGAAGAACCGGCCAGCCAUGAACUAUGACAAGCUGAGCCGCUCUCUCCGCUAUUACUAUGAAAAGGGCAUCAUGCAGAAGGUGGCUGGAGAGCGAUACGUCUACAAAUUUGUCUGUGACCCAGAUGCCCUCUUCUCCAUGGCUUUCCCGGAUAACCAGCGUCCGUUCCUGAAGGCAGAGUCCGAGUGUCACCUCAGCGAGGAGGACACCCUGCCACUGACCCACUUUGAAGACAGCCCCGCUUACCUCCUGGACAUGGACCGCUGCAGCAGCCUCCCCUAUGCCGAAGGCUUUGCUUACUAAGUUUCUGAGUGGCGGAGUGGCCAAACCUUAGAGCUAGCAGUUCCCAUUCAGGCAAAC